This 178-nucleotide small nuclear RNA is filed under the name Ursus thibetanus thibetanus. Its description in RNAcentral is "U2 spliceosomal RNA (ENSUTTG00000011005.1)". It matches the Rfam family "U2 spliceosomal RNA". Rfam says of the family: U2 is a small nuclear RNA (snRNA) component of the spliceosome (involved in pre-mRNA splicing). Complementary binding between U2 snRNA (in an area lying towards the 5' end but 3' to hairpin I) and the branchpoint sequence (BPS) of the intron results the bulging out of an unpaired adenosine, on the BPS, which initiates a nucleophilic attack at the intronic 5' splice site, thus starting the first of two transesterification reactions that mediate splicing. Lineage: Eukaryota; Metazoa; Chordata; Mammalia; Carnivora; Ursidae. The record is from RNAcentral.
AUCACUUCUCGGCUUUUUGGCUAAACACAAGUGUAGUAUCUGUUCUUACCAGUUUAAUGUUUUUAUUUAUUUACUUAUUUAAAAAUUUUUUUAGGGGUGCCUGGGUAGCGCAGUCGUUAAGCGUCUGACUUCGGCUCAGGGCGUGAUCCCGGCGUUAUGGGAUCGAGCCCCACAUCGG